AUGCUUCUCACACAGGGCCUUGAGCUGCUGGCUGUGGGGUGCUGGCUGCCACCGCAGAGGCGUGACCGUCCGUGUGCGCUCGCUGCCCACCAGGAACUCUGCCACGAGCCUGUUAAACUGAAUCAUGUACUCCUUCACCAUGAUGUGGGCCGCGCGGAAGCCCAGGGUGCUGUCCUCAUCAGGCUGCUCAUAGAAGCAGUCGGACUGCAGGCGGUGCCGGCGCAGCAGCCGAGAGAAGUAGCAUGCGGCCACGACGCAGGCGUCCACAGAGUCCAGGCGGGCUGGCAGCUCACGGCCGGCACCUGGGUGCUCCCUGAUCACCCGCUCUGCCUCCUCGUAGGACAGCUGGCGGUCAGAGCGGACCACGGAGGGUGCAAAGUGCAGGCUCUUCAGCUGGCCACUGGCUUUCUCCAUGGUGAGGAACAGGGAGAUGGCCAGGCGGUCCUGGCCCGGCAGGAGGCUGAGGAUGUCCUGGCAGAGGCUGGCAGGCAGCAUGGGCACUGGUUCCCUGCCAGGGGCAUAGAACGCAGCGCCCUGCCUUCGAGCCUCCACGUCCAGCGCCCCGUCCCUGGGCACGAAGCUGGCAACAUCAGUGAUGUGCACAGCCACCUCGCACUGGGGACCCAGGUCUCGGACACUGAGGGCAUCAUCGAGGUUGCAGGCGCCCUGGGGGUCCACAGUGAAGGUCAGGAAGGCGCGGCAGUCCUCUCGGCGGCCGGCAACGCGGCCAAGCUCUGUUUGGUAUUUCUGCAGUGCCUUGGUGAUGGCAGCCAGGUCCGACGGGGGCACCCUCAAGCUGUACUCCAGGCCAAGGAUGCGGAGGCCCUGCUCCCAGGUGCUGGCCUCAGGCAGCACCUCCCGGACGAUGCCCAGUGGGUAAUAGAAGCCCUGCCGCCACAGGACAAUGUGGACCCAGAAGAGCCGGCUGUGCCGGGCCUCCGCCGUGAGCCUCUCCAGCCCCACACGCUGCAGCCGGCCCUUCCGGAGGCCGUAGACCGGGACCUGCGAUGGGUCCUUCAGCUCUGCCACGAAGAUCUUGGUCACGGAGCCAUUGAUGGGGACCAUGAUGCGCGGGUCCCACCUGUCCAUGCGGCACACAAACGCCAGCUCGUGCCUCCUCCUCUUCAGCACGCCCAGCACGCGGCCCCGAAGCCGCCCCUCGGGGGCCCUGUCUCCCGAAAGGAGCUGCACCAGCACCUCAUCCCCGGUGAAGGCCAUGCCACAGUCCAGGCGGCCCCUGACCUGGAUGGGGCCCGAGGGGGCGUCGUCCAGCGGGAUGGCGGACGCGCGCUCAAAGGUCUCCUGCACGAAGGUGCAGUGACGGUAGCGCUCCGGCUCCGCACGCAGCAGCUUCCGCAGUGCAGCCGGGGGCAGGUUCUCGUACAGCCGGGCCUGCCGCGGGGACUCUGGCCUGGCGACGGUGUCCAGCAGCCCGUCCUCCCCGACGGUCACCAUCACCUUCCGGCUUUCAUCCAGAAGCUCCCGCAGGAUGGCGUCGUCAGCGUUGAGCUCCCCGUCCCACGGCCAGAAGUCAGCCUCUGCGUCCGCAGGCUCGGUGGCCUCCACGCCCGCCGCAGCGGCCGCGCCCGCCGUGCAGGCCCCGGGCGCCGCGUCCUCCUUCACUGCGUCUCCUGCUGGCGCUGCCGCAGCCUCCGUCUGCGCUGUGGUUGCCGUGAUGUCACCGGAGGCUGGGCUCAGAGCCUCAUCUCCCGGCUCUGCCUUCACUGUGGCCGUCACCACAGUCGCCGGUUCCUCGGCCGGGUCCCCUACUGGCUCCGGGGCAGCCUCCCAGUUCCCCGAUGCCCCAGCUCGUGUGCCCUGGGGGGGCCAGCGCCGUCUCCGCGCCACGCCCUGCUCGACCUGCUCCAUGGACAGGCCCUCGGGGCAGACGCUGUGCCGUUCCGCACACUCGCGGAUGAAACUCUCCCAGAGCUUGCCACAGGCCCCGAAGGAGCAGAGGGCCACGGCGUCCCCCACCACCACCAGCUGGGACUGGGCGCGGGUCAGCACGGUGUUGAGCACGCGGGCGUCAGUGAAGAACUCGGGGGCUGGUGCCCCGGGGCUGAGCAGGCUCUGGCAGGUGUGCACCGUGCUGAGCACCACCACCCGGAACUGCCGCCCUGCAGAGGGCAUGCGGUCAGGCUGGGCACACCGGACGGUGGGACCAACCCCACCCCCGCCGAUGCCAGGCUGAGGAGUGGGCCAAGCCACCCGGGGCAUCCUGGGGCAGCAGGCAGCACUUGGCCCCGCUGGUCACCCACCUGGCAGGAUCUCAAAACUGCCCACAGACACCUGGCCUAG
Long non-coding RNA from Piliocolobus tephrosceles (Ugandan red Colobus), 2301 nucleotides. The record is from Ensembl. Lineage: Eukaryota; Metazoa; Chordata; Mammalia; Primates; Cercopithecidae.